AAGCAAAAGCAAAAGCUAAAAAUAAAUAAAUAAAAACGGUCUCCUAUCUAUCCAAGCAAGGAAAAGAGACCAAAGCAGAGAGAUUGUACCCUGCGAAAACACAGAAACAGAACGGCACUCCCUCUUCUCUAUCACACAUUCUUGACCGUACGAUCCAGUCAACUUUCAUACAACCAACGGCUCUGAUCACAUCACCUUCACCAACUGUUAUGGGAGCAUUUUCCGUGUUCAUAUUUUAAAGAGCAGAUAUAGGUGGUUGAGGCAUAAUCAGAUGCAGUCCCAUCCUGGAGAAACUUUCCAUGUGUUAAAAAAGGAAGGAGAUGACUGCACUGGUUCACGUUACACAGGUCAUUUGAAUAGCUCUCUUCAGGAACCAAUUGAAGUUUCUUCUUCUUCGAAUGAGGAUAACUCUGAUGAUACAUGGGAUAUAGAUGACCAAUCAAUUGAAGAUUCCUCUAAACAGUUGGUUCUUUAUGACCCUUUGGCUAAUGAUGCUGGUGAAAUUGAACCUGUUCCUCAACCGAUCCUGUCCCACCAUCCAUUUAGAAGAUACUCAGACCUGAAUGUGCCUUCUAGAGUUUUGCCAUCUGUAGGAGCUUUUACUGUGCAAUGUGCCAAAUGUUUCAAGUGGAGGCUCAUCCCAACAAAACAGAAGUAUGAAGAAUUACGUGAACAUAUUCUGGAAGAGCCUUUUUUUUGUGAAACUGCUCGUGAGUGGCGGCCUGAUAUAUCAUGUGAUGAUCCAACAGACAUUGAUCAAGAUGGGAGUAGGCUGUGGGCAAUUGAUAAACCUAACAUUGCUCAGCCCCCUCCCGGGUGGCAAAGGUUGCUGAGAAUCAGGGGCGAAGGAAGUACCAAAUUUGCAGAUGUGUACUAUCAAGCACCGUCAGGCAAGAGACUUCGCUCAAUGGUGGAAAUCCAAAAGUACUUAAUUGAACAUCCAGAGUAUAUGAGAGAUGGUAUAACUCUCACACAGUUUUCAUUUCAAAUACCAAAGCCUCUGCAGGAAAACUAUGUGAGAAAAAAGCGUCCUCGUUUAUCAGCUUCAUGUCUUGAACCUGGUGAAGACAUAAAUCUGGAGGAAUGAGGUUCUGUAUUCAGACUCGACUAACUUUUGUCUUCUCACUUCUCAGCUUAGGUGCACUCUUGCUGCUCCAUGUAAGGAGUAUAUUUUGUGGUCGAUCCAUGAAACCCAACACUAUUCAGGUUGGAUUGAUUCUGUAUUUAGAUCAUCUGGGUCUAUGUGGUUCUGGAACGUGGGGGCUGUCUCAUCGGAAUUGGUAAUGGGGUGAGGCAUUGGAUAAACCAAUCUAACCUAUGCAUAUAAAUUGUUAUGUGUGUUGAGAAACUCUUACCACUUGUUUCUUUAGGUGGAGUCCUUAUCAUGAAUUAAUGAGUAUGUAGUGUUUUUUAUCUAAUUUCCUCGUGGCCAUGGUUUUAGACUACCUGGAAAGAAUUCUUCAUGGGUGGGUUGGUUAUAACUUUUAAUUAAUUAAUGGGUGGUCCUGGGGAGAAUUAUUUGAGAAUCUGUUGCACGACUGGAUUAGCCUCGUGGUCAGACUGCUGGCUUAACCUGCUUGGGAUUUUGUACUGAAUUCAAGAUAGCAUUCCUGAAGGCAUCAUCUGCUGCAUAAAGAAUUCAUGUGAAAACUUACUAAUGACAUAUCCUUGUUUUUGCUGCAGCAAAUCCCCUUAAAUGGGUUGGUCCAGGUGAUUGUACAGAACUCCAGCUUGGCCGGCCAGCAAUCCUACCUCCACCCUUGAUUCAGUCCUCUGCUUAUCUUCCUUUCUACUGGCCAGUAAAGAAGAAAGCAAGGACACCAUCGAAACAGAGUCACAGGACUAAUCCAGUGUGUAAUCUGGAUGAACCAAAAGUUGAAGAGCCUGAUCAAUCUAGAAAUAGUGGUUGUGAUUUGUGAGGCUCGCUCCAGAUCCUUUUGGUUGACUCAAUGUCACAGUUUGUGUCUUGCUUCCAAAAUGUCACGCUUUGUGUCUUGCUUCCAUGUUUUACCUUGCAAUGCUAUUUGUUUUUUACCACUAGGUUCUGAUGAACCUUUCACAUACAAAAGUGGUAAAAUGGGCGGGGGAGGAUGCAUGGUUAGCUGGAAUGUAUCUUUGUUAUGGGAUGCUAAAAAAUCAUAAUGAAGGAAAUCUAAAUGUUUGGUUCUUUUUA
RNA transcript from Populus trichocarpa (black cottonwood), 2173 nucleotides. It is a transcript of the gene named methyl-CpG-binding domain-containing protein 2, with no coding region annotated. The transcript has 7 exons. Lineage: Eukaryota; Viridiplantae; Streptophyta; Magnoliopsida; Malpighiales; Salicaceae. The record is from RefSeq and is a predicted model, not a curated record.